AAUCAUGUGGUAAAUGUAAGUUAUGAUAAGGCUUGGAGAGGAUGUGAGAUUGCACUAAAUUCCAUUAGGGGUACCCCGGAGGACUCUUAUGCAAUGUUGGCAGCAUUCACGGGUGCAUCGAUUAGAAACAACCCAGAUAUAAUAUAUAUAUCAAAUACUAUGUAUUCUCUAUUAAGUAUUUUACUCAUUAUGGAAAUGCACAUUCUAAUAUCUUGUUUACAUAAUUACUAGGAACGUAUACAACUGAAGAAUCAAACAAUGAAGGUCGAUUCAAGUUCCAUUUCAUGGCCCUUGCAGCUUCAAUUGAUGCAUGGAAUUAUUGUGUGCCAAUUAUUUUAGUUGAUGGUGCAACGUUGAAGAACAAAUAUUUUGGUAAAUGUAAGGUCAAAUAUUUUGGUACGUUGAAGAAAAUUCUCAAAUUGUGCCUCUAGCUUUUGUUGUGGUUGAUUCAGAGAAUUAAUAACGGUGUUAAUAAGAGUGGCCUAUUAAAUGUAGUCUUAACUAGUAACGGUGUUAAUAAGAGAGACUAUUCAUUUCGUGGUCCGAUCUUAUACAAACUCUUUGUAUAAAAUACCCCUGCUGUAAUGUCUCGACAUGAAUGAUUAUGAUCAAAUCAUUUGUAGCACUUUACAACAAUUGUAACAACUACAAAGCAGACCGUAUUCGUAGUGUCACCAGAAUAAGGUAUUCAGCCUUAUCCAUCUACUACAGACCAUUUAGGUUAUCAUUUAAACAUGAUCCACUUGUAUGUCUCCACACACUUUAUUUUAUUAGAUAAAUAAAAUGCUUGUAUAAUAUAUACAAUUACAAACUAUAAAAUCAGAAGAUUUAGAGCAUCAAUCCCAACAUUUUACACGUCAAGUAAUCCAGUGUCAAGAAUAAGAGGAUUUUUGUUUGACAGUUUUUACGCGUCAAGUAAAAUUAUGCUUGACAGUUUAUAAACGUCAAGAAUAUGUUUAUUCUUGACACAUUUUGCAUGUUAAGUUUUUUUUUUCUUUCAAAUGAAAAAUUGUACAAUUUAAAAUAUUCAUAUAAUUAUAUUAAACAUGUUUUGAAGUUCAUUCACACACAUAUAAGUAGUGCCUUUGAGAUUACACAAAGUUGCUAAACUACGCAUAUUAAAUUAAACAAUUAAAUCAGUCAAAACUUUCCAUCAAAGAACUAAUAACUUUAACAAAUUGCAUAUAUCAUUGAACCAUACAUAUAAUACUUAGUCAUUACAUAAUUAAUUACAAUACCCUAAACUUCUACCAUAUGAACAUAUUGUUCUACAUAACUCUAUGUCUAAUAUGAAAAUUUUUAAAGUUUGUAAAAUGUAAAUAUAAGAAAAAGCUAACAUUUCGUCAAUGCUCUAGAUUCUUUUACCUAUAAUUGUACAAAUAUUACAAAGUGUAUGAUAAUGUAUAUACAUUAAAACGUUGGUUGUUUGUUUUCAUAUGCGUGUGUUGCAUAGUACUUUGUGAUUGAACUAGUCUGUGUAAUGGUAGAGCAACAAGAAAAAUAUGACAAGAAAAAAAAAUGUAGAAUAGAGGACAUUUGCUUUUUUUAAAACAAAAAAUUGUCAAGAUAAAGGCAUUCUUGACAGUUAAUUAUAAUCAUGCUAGGUGUUUUAUUGACAUUUAAUAAUUGUCAUGAUUGACAUAUUCUUGACAGAAAAAAUGUCAAAAUAUAUGAAUUCAUAACAGAUAUAUCAAUAUGCAAUAAUGACAGAUAAUUACUGUAAUUUGUGUUAAUUGAUGACAAUUAUUUAUUGUCAUAAAAAAUAUAUAAUAACAACAUUUACUAUUUGUAAUAAUAGUGGAUAUGUGACAUUUAUUUUCUGUCAUGAAAACACUUAUUGUGACAGUUUUUCAAACGGUCAUAGAUAGUCUUUCUUUGACAGACUAUACAAUGACAUUGAAAAAAACUGUCAAAAAUCUUAACUAUGACAAACUUUAACUAUCGUUGUAGGCCAUUUUUCUUGUGGGUGAAAAGUUCUCACUUAUCUUUAUAAUACUGAUUUUGUGUUAAAAUAGAAUUAGUUGACGAUGGAAAUCACGUAUGAAAUGACAUAAUUAUAAAACAUGGGUAAUGUGUCCUGAUACAAGAAAAUUUUGUUAACAUAUUGUUAUUGUUCAAAUGUUUUCUUUAACAAUAAAAGUGUCAUGGCUUAGAUAUUCUUCACAAAUAAAAGAUGUCAUUAUAUAUAUACCUUUUGAUAUUUUAUUGUUGCCAUCAAUGACCAUACUGCUACAACAGAUAGCCAAUUUUCUGAUUAUCACAAUGAUUUCACAUGUCAAAGGAUACGUGACAGGAACAAUUUCUAAACAUCAGGUUAAUUUCAUUGUCUAUGGUAGAUUAUUGUCAUCUAAGAAGAUAUUAUAACAAUUUUUUCCAAUGUCAGUUGAUGAUCAUAUAUCUUUCCAAGGGAUACCAAAAAUGCAAAAUAAUUUUCAUGAAUACUUCUUGUGAUAGUUUUUAGAUGCAGGAACAUCCCAAUUUUGUUGGAGGGUUUGUGGUUUCUUUCAAUUAUCAUCUUCUUCCUAAAUGAAUAAUGUUUCAACUAAAAUAAUUGAGAAAAACUGAAAUGAAAAAUAGAAAAAGUAGACGACGUUAAUAAACUUUUAAUAGUAGGGAGAUGAUAUUGAGGUGUGAAAUUACACAUGUAACCAAGACCAUAGGUUAACUAAAUUUAACAUCCUUUCAUCUACCAUGUAGCUAAUAAAAAAAUUUCCAAAUUUCCAAAUUUCCCUUCAAAUUUCACCAAGUUUCAAGAUUUAUCCAAAUUUUAUGUAAAAAAAUAAAAGAAAUGUCCAAAAUUCAUUGAAAUUGAAAUUUUCAUUUUAUCGUAGUUAUAACUACAUGUUCAAAAAGAAAAUUGCAUCAAAUGACAAAAACAUCUAGAAAAAACAGCCCAUUACACCUUUUGUUUUUCUUUUUUGCAUAUUGUGAAUUUGACAAGUAAUUAGUGAUAUUAGACGACUAUUCGAACGUUAUCAAAGGGUUAUCAAAAAGCUAUCGGACUGUUAUUAAAGGACUAUCAGUUUUAAAUUUGCUACUUUUACAAUUUGGAAAAUGUAGUGACACGAGUCUUAUUAUCAUAAUUUCUUUUGCUAUUUUUAUAAGUGCCCUUACAAAGUGAAGUACAUGUAUAUAUGCGGGACAAGAUUAGAGAACAUGAAAGGGAAAGAGACCUAAUUGAGAGAGACAAGAAACAAAGGUAAGUAUCAUAAUUCUAUUUUAUUUAUAUAUAUAUAUAUAUGUAGGUAUAUAUAUAUAGGUAUAUAUAUAUAGGUAUAUAUAUAUGUGGUUGUAUAUUGUUAAGUAGCAGCUAGUUUAGUGUUGUAAAUGCUCAGGAAGAACAGGUCCAAAUUCCAUGAGUUGUAACGCUGCCCGUUGAUUGUAAAAUACUAUAGCUGUAUAAGUCCAAAGAAAUCCACCAGAGUUUAUAGCUUCCAACACAAGCGUGAAACAUAUUUGACCGAACCUUCGUCCCUGUUCCAACCCAUUUAUUGCCCUCUGGAACUGCAGUUUGUCACCUGUAAUUUCAUUAUGCCUUUCUGUUGCAAACCUUGCAUAUCCUUGAAUUUCUGCAGAAUCAAUAUCCUUAAUUGGCACUGGAGGAACAUCAAAAUUCCUAGAACACAUUGCUAACACCUUUCCACGACAGAUAUGUAUACUUUGGAACAGACUAUGUUUAAUUGCUUUUGAAUAUAAUAUGCAUGGGAACGGGUUCCAUAUUUAUAGUGUUGGCGUUCAAUGUUCUACCAAUUGAUGUCAUCGAAUCUAAUUUUUAUGAAGUAAAUGAAGGAAUAGUAGCUAGCGAGAAGGUGUUUAGAGAAGAUAGCUUCGAAUCAAUUCCUUUUGAUAAUUAUAUUGAGCUUCCUAUUCAUUCCUUAAACUAACUCUCAAAUUUUGGCUUUUCCUUUGCAUUCUCAUCACUUU
Molecule: long non-coding RNA, 3924 nt
Filed under: Cucumis sativus (cucumber)
Lineage: Eukaryota; Viridiplantae; Streptophyta; Magnoliopsida; Cucurbitales; Cucurbitaceae
Description: long non-coding RNA (CSAT_LNC002008)
Source: RNAcentral